This 331-nucleotide ribosomal RNA is filed under the name uncultured bacterium. Its description in RNAcentral is "bacterial SSU rRNA". It matches the Rfam family "Bacterial small subunit ribosomal RNA", at positions 29 to 361 of the family's 1533-position model. The record is from RNAcentral.
AAUUGAACGCUGGCGGAAUGCUUUACACAUGCAAGUCGAGCGGCAGCGCGGGGGCAACCCUGGCGGCGAGCGGCGAACGGGUGAGUAAUACAUCGGAACGUGUCCUUGAGUGGGGGAUAGCUCGGCGAAAGCCGGAUUAAUACCGCAUAAGCUCUGAGGAGGAAAGCGGGGGACUGGUAACGGCCUCGCGCUGUUGGAGCGGCCGAUGUCGGAUUAGCUAGUUGGGGGUAAAGGCCCACCAAGGCGACGAUCCGUAGCUGGUCUGAGAGGAUGAUCAGCCACACUGGAACUGAGACACGGUCCAGACUCCUACGGAGGCAGCAGUGGGGAA